AAGAGUGCAUAUCGAAUAAUCAUUAAUGAUCAUUGAUCGCUUGCGCGAGUAUACGCGCAAGCGAAAGCGCAUCAGCGCUGUCAAAACAAUAAAAGAAUAUAUAUCGAGCGUUGACGCUCUCUUCUGUUACAACACCUGAACGAGUCAAGACGUAUUUCUACAUCCCGAAGAAUCCCCAUAUCCAAGGGUUAAUAAAAGUAUAAGUUGUCUCCGGGAAACUUGGUGGCCAGUGAGUGAUAAAUAUCCGGGAAGAUUUGGACCAAAUCACCGGAUAGAAAAUUCUUCAAAAAAAACCUCUAGGAAUUCCUCCCAGAGAUUAUCUAAGAAUUAUUUAAAGAACUAGCUGUCCCGGCAAACUUUGUCUUGCCAAUCUUGAGGUGGUUUGACAGUUUUUGAACUCAUUUAAGCACCGCACUCUAGAUUGGUUUAAUUGCGAUCGUUUCGAUUUUCUUUCCAGCUCAUGCAAAUUCAGUAGUUUCAUAAAUCUUCUUCACUUUGAUUUAACGAUCAACGAUCAAUUCUGACUAUACAUGUCAAUGGUUGCUCCUCCGUGAUUGAUCUGAACUGGUACCAGUUGCACUGUGAUCCAACUGAUUAAGGGGCUGGGACAUUCCACUUAUUCUCAAAGUGCAAUUUUAGCAGCUCAUGCAUAUUUGAUCAAUAACGGCGCCGGCCAAGUCCUUAUAGUCAGCUGGGAAGGGAAAGGAAUGUUAGAGUGUACUGGUUGUUGCUACUAGAGACCGAGAGCACUCUGCGUCCCACAACCCGCACGGACUGGGGUAUUUGUUAGACGGAAAGGAUGGGAGAUCUGGGAGUCACCGUUGGGUCGGUGAUGCGAUCCAUGGAUAGGGUUAUUUAUAGUGUUCGUGAUAGAUUGUGUGGUGAAUAAGGUGAAUAAGGUCAAGCGACACAGCACGCUUUGGUUGCAUAACUUAUAGGCGUUAUAAAUACACUGUGCUGUGAGUGGAAGUUGGAAGGGAGGGAAACGACUUUUUUCAAUUCGUUUCUGGUUCUAGCGAUGGCUAUGAACAUAUGAAUAUACAUGAGUUGUAUAUGUAGAGAAGAGAGAGUGAGAGAAAGUGGAUAGAAAGAUACAAAGUAGGAUGAAAAGGACGGGCCAGGGAUUGAACCCAUGACCUUCUGCAUACGAAUCAGAAGCGGUGGCCACUAGACCACCAAGCCCGUCCCAUAAAUCUUCUUCACUUUGAGUCGAUUUUCGUAACUUUUCCUGCAUAUAAAAACAGCCACCAUGAAUACGAAUCAAACCCUGCAUAAGUCAUCCUGAUCGGUUCAUCCGUUCGUGAGUUUUGUUGCCUCAAAGCGAAUUCAAACUCAUUUAUACACUCCCGUUCAAAAGUUUGGGGUCACCCCCUCAAAAACAUGCCAUAUUUUCAGGCCCAUAUCUCCGCCAAUUUGCAUCCGAUUUCAAAACCCUAGGUUUCAUUCAAAAGAUAAUAAGUCAAAGAAACUUUGAACAUGAUUUAAAAAAAACUUUUUCAAAAAAAUUUGUAUGUAAACUUAACCCAAAGUUGCCAAAUUUUCUAAAAAAUGAAUAUAAACUUACGGCAGUAUCGCUGGAAGUUGGGUCGACCAAAUUUUAAGAUGAGAGCGGUAAUAUGAUCCAUUUUCUAUUAGCUUUCAACUGCUUUUUACAGAACUUAGCUAAAAAAUCUAGAAAAAAAGUUAUUAAGUAAAUUAUUCCUUGAUGUCAUCGACCAAAAGUUUGGGGUCAUCCCUCAAAAUGCUGUAUCGGCCAAAAGUUUGGGGUCACUAUCGUAAAACAUGGAAAAGUGAUUUGUUGAUAUCUUUGUCAUCUUUCACUCAAUUUUAAUUCUGCUUGGCUUAUUUGAAACAAAAUGAAUGAUACUUACUGCAUAGACAUUGAACCACACAUAUUUGUUGAAACUUACAUACUAAAACUUAACGUAAAGUUGCCUCAUUUUUUGAAGCGUGGUAAAAUGUGCUAACUUUACAUAACAUUUUUAUAUACAAAAAUCGUUAAAUACGUUAAGUUGAAAACAUCAAACGUAAAUUUAGUUAAUUAUCUUUGAAAUGAGCCAAAAAUAAUUAAAAUUGAACUAUAGAUGACGAAGAUAUCACCAAAUCACUUUUCCAUGUUUUACGAUAGUGACCCCAAACUUUUGGCCGAUACAUCAUAUUGAGGGGUGACCCCAAACUUUUGGUCGAUGACAUCAAGGAUUAAUUUACUUAAUAACUUUUUUUCUAGAUUUUUUAGCUAAGUUCUGUUAAAAGCAGUUGAAAGCUAAUAGAAAAUGGGUCAUAUUACCGCUCUCAUCUUAAAAUUUGGUCGACCCAACUUCCAGCGACACUGCCGUAAGUUUAUAUUCAUUUUUUAGAAAAUUUGGCAACUUUGGGUUAAGGACAAGGUAUUUGGAGUACAUUGCUCAAAAUUUCUAGAGCACCGUUUUUUAGAACCGUUGAACGGAUUUGGAUUAAAAUGCAUCACGCUGUUGACAACCACUGAACAAAUAGCGUGAUGCAUUAUCAUACACAUCCGUUCAACGGUUCUAAAAAACGGUGCUCUAGAAAUUUUGAGCUAUGUACUCCAAAUACCUUGUCCUUAAAUCCUGUCAAUUGGGUUUUAAAAUUAAGAAAAAUUCAAUGAUUUUUUGUUUUUAAACAAAAGAACACCUUUUUCUGAGCCGCUGUGAUUUUUUUUCAGAUUUUUUGAACUUCAAAUUGGUUUUUAAAUAGGUUCCCGGGCUCCAAAAUUGAUGAGAAUUUGGAUUUCGGCUCAGUUUGGCAUGCAGAUUCAAAAUAUGGAAUUAUCUCAACACCACUAAAGAAGCCAAUUGUUUGUUGCAAGGGCUCGAUGUACACAUUUUUUACCCUCUAGCGGUGAUGGCCAACCUAGCCAUAGAGAUGAGCUUAGAGAAUACAUUUUAAGAGUUAGGUAAUUUUCCAUUUGACUCCAACACUACCAAGUAAAAAGUAGUGGAAACAGGCAAAGAUGACGAAGUACAUCGCCGCUCCCCUGAUACCGGUCGAAAACGACGGUGCAGUGCGAAUACAUGCCCCAGUCUUCCGCAUAGGUGCCCACUGUUGGUGUGCAGCAGCACUGCUGCGUUGGUAUACUCCCUGAAGCAAAUGAAGAUGAUAUUGCAUUUGCCAUGUGAUAUUUGUGGCAAAUCGAGUACGCCGCCAUCUCUACCACAUGCAUACACAUACAGACAAUAAAAUAGAGCCCGAAGCCAACACGUUAUUCGAUUUCAAUCUUUUCUGUUGAAAUGAAUUGAAGAUCAAAAUUAGAACAAAGUUGCAAAACCUUGUAUAAAAAUAUCCACUCGCGAAAUGCGCGUUGUAUUUUCCAUUUUUACUAGGUUUUCUGCCGAAAGUAUACCUAUAGGAUUGCCAAAAGAUCUCCGAAAAAGUCCUCUGCUGUGUUUCCAUCAGCGCUGAAAAUGUCAAUUCGACAUAUAGAAAUUCAACCACAUCCAUCCUAAGAAUAUGGUACAGUCGGAACCCGCUCGUUGAGCCACAACCUCCACCCAACCAACGAAUUCGAUUCGCUAGUUGGGUGAAGUGACAGCAGCACAAGGGGCGUGCGCAUUGUUUUUUUUUAAUCAUUUUUAGGUUGGAAGCAAAAAGCAAAAUUUUUCAAUUUGUUUCACAUUUAGAGCAAAACUGAUUCGUUUUGCAAGAUACAUAUAUGGCCAAUGCGAGAAAUAAUUAUUUUCACCCAUUUUUAGUCGGUGAAGUGAAAAUAUAGAUGUUUAUGAAACCACCCGGACCAAAAGCAAGCACAAAACGCUUUCAAUGAUCGACAAAAUAAAGAUUACCGAUGUUUUGCAUUUAUUUCGAAGUAAUUGUACAUAUUCUUUUUUUUAAAGAAAUAUGAAAUAGAAAUUCUUUUCGAUUAUCAUUAAGUUUAUGAAACCAAAAACUCAUUAGCUCGCCCCUCGGAAUUACAAAUUGGUUGUCAUUUUCAGUAUGACAUUGAAUUAUGACAUCCAGGUACUUUUUAGUUGGCUGACAGUUCAACUAACGGGGCCCCAACUAAAAAGUCACCCAACUAUUAAGCCCCCAACCAGCGAGUCAUGACUGUAUAUGAAAAACUUGUGCGGCUUGUACAAGAAAGUCAUGAAAAAACCGCUCUUUUUCGAAUAUUUAAGGAAAAUUUCACGGACUUCCUUAGAAAAAAUGCCAAUUGAUAUUCACCAUAAAUAUCAUUGGCAUUUUUCGAAGGUAAUCCAUGACAUUUAUCUUAAAUAUUCGACAAGAUGUGGUUUUUUGUGACUUUCUUUUAGAACUGGUCCAGCCUAUACCAUAUUCUCAGGUUGAGCUUCUAGAAUGAGCAGGAUGUGGUUGAAUUUAGAUAUGGCGAAAUGACAUUUUCAGCUCUGCAUAUGACACACACUUAAUACUUGGAGCUGUUACGCAGUAAACAGAAAAGCGCGCCUACCUGUAGAAAUUCAUAGAGGAAUCCGCGGACUUUGGAGGUAUUUCUAAGGAAGAAUCACUCGAGAAACCUAAAAAGUUUUAAGAAUAACUGGAGAAAUCCUUGCUGAAAUUUCAGUAUAGAAACACAGGAAGAAUUAGUGGAGGAAUUAAAGGACGAAACCCUACAGGAAUUCCUGAUGGAAUUCCGUAAGCAAUUUCUGUAGAAACUUCUAGUGGAGCUCUCGGAUAAAUCCCUUGAUUAAUUUUUGAAGCAAGCCCUAUUGCAAUCUCCGGAAAAACCCCUAGAGGAAUUUCUUGAGAAUGUCCUGGAAUAACUCCUUGAAUAUUUAUUCGAAAGAAUUCUUAAUGAAUCUCUGAAGAAAUCCAUGUUAGGAUUGCAAUUGAAAUUCCAGGGGAAAUCCACGCGGGAAAUGCCUGAAAAAGUUCUGAGGGAAUAUCAGUAGCAAUUCCUGAAGGAAGCUCAGGAGAAAGAGCUUCACAAAUAUGCACUAUCAUGAAUUUCAGAAGAUUUCACAAGGGAGCAUCCAUUAAGUACGUCACGCUAAAAUUGGGAACUUUUAAACCUCCCCCCUUCCCCUUCGUACGAGUUUUUACUAUACCUAAUACAUAGCUUGUCACACUUUCGCACCCUCCUCCUCCCCCCUAUGACCGUGACGUACUUAAUGGAUGAUCACCAAGUGAAAUUGCUUAACAAAAGAUAUUCCUGUAGAAAUACCACGAGGAAAUCCUGGAGAAAUCCCCAGAUCAAAUUUUUCGACCACCUAGAGAUCCCUAGAGAUUUUUUUUAUUUUUAAUCACUUAACCUAAUUUACAGGUCUAUUGUCUACUUGGGCACUACGUGAGCGAUUUCAAUUGACAGCUGUACCUACAGUAUUGAACAGAGCCUACAUAUAUUCUAUUAUACUUUAUCGAACUGGUUGCCUUUCUGCUGCUUUCACUUUUCUACUCUACAAGGUAGAAUGAUGAGCACAAGGAUGAUAGGUUGCCGUUGUUCCUUUCCAGUCCGAUUGGGGGUCCAUUAUGAGUAGCAAUUCACCGAUGUCCAGGUAUCCGGGUUCGUUUGAGCCAUGGGGCUCAGAAGAGGGUCAGUGUCAGCCGCUCUCGGUGAAGAGCAACAACUGACGAAAAAUUGCAAGUGCCGGGGCUGGGAAUCAAACCCAUGACCAUCCGCAUAUGAAGCGAACGUGUGACCAACUACGCCACGGGCCCCGGCAACCCCUAGAGAUAUCCCCGUAGAAAUUUCUGGAAGAGUUCCCGGUAUAAUUUCGGAAGGAAUCCUGAGAGGAAACCCCCUAGAUAUACAUUCCUGGAAGAAUCCACUAAGUAACUCCAGAAGGAAUUGUUUUUUUUUCAAAUUAAAAAAAAAAGUUUCAAUUGUUUGGUUUUAUACGAAAGAGCCACUGAUUUUUUUUUUCAGAUUUUUAGAACCUUAUUUUGGUACCGUAAAAAGGGGUAUCAUUGAUCGGCUUGACCCACCUCAUGAUAUGUUCAAACAUUUUUGAUUGAAUGAGUUUCUACUCACGAAUGGUAUUUCGUAAACUGCUAUCAUUUAGCUACUAAGACAUGGAAUUCAUGAAAAUUUAAUUUCCUAAUCAUUGAAAUAAAUCAAUGCUGGCGUUCUAUUCGAGUAGAUCCUAUCAAUAUAGGAAUCAUAGCAAACAUAUGGCCUAUUCAAAUCUAACGCCAGAGUGUUUCCUGAACUGCCGUGAAUCGCAUAUCUGUCCCAUUUGCAUAGGAAAUCCAGCAAAGAUGGGACUCACGGCAGUGAACUGUGCUUCAUAACGCAAUGAGAUACAUUGUCAAAAAUUCAUGCAUACCUAGGUUAGAAAUCACUGUACAACUUCAACAUGAUACCCUAGAAUUAGAUUUAAUAAACGAAACUUUUAUGAAAGUGAAGUUUUUCAAUAAAAUAUACGAUUUAUUGAAAAUAGGCGCUCAAUUUCUUAAGCCAUUGCCUACCUGUAGGCGUUAUUCGCGGUUUAAAAGGAUUUUAAUCCUAAAAUAAGCCAAAAAGUACAUAACUUAUAAGAAUUUUACCAACAUAUUUGAAAUCAGAGGCCCCAAAUUUAGUAAGUAAGGGUACUUUCAAUACAAAAGAACAUUGAUCACUGACAUAAUCAAUGAUACCCCAAAUCAACAAAAUCAAAAAUUAAAUUGCCUAUUUUAACAUAUGUAUUUUAAAGUUUCACAAUAUUUUUUUUGAGAAGCUUAACACACUCAAAAAUAUAAAACGUAGAACGUUUGCUUUGACAAGAAAGUUAUUCAAGUUCGAAAAUUUUAAUCAAAGUUACCCCGGAUUACGGUACCUAAGUUUCAAAAAGAUUUUUGGAAAUCACCUUUUGACAGCUGGGCAACUACUUGACAGCUCUGCCCAGUUCCAGUACAAAAUGCGACGAGGGGUAAUUCGACAAAUCGCUCCCAUACAAACUUCGAAUUGAUUUUUGAAUAGGCUCCCGGGCACCAAAAUUCAUAAAAAUUUUGAUUUUGGCUCAGUUUGGCAUGCAGAUUCAUAAAAUGGAAUUAUCGCAAUACUGCUAGAAAAGCCAAUUCCUAAAACUGAAAUUGACCGCCAUUCAAUAUUGGCUGAAAAACAGGCUCUGAGGCCGAUACUUAGCAGACCUGAUAUGAAGUCUAGUCUGGUAUGAAAUUAACUGAAUUAUAACGAAAAACUGUCCAAAAUAGUCUCCUGCCCUAAUGGGGCACCCUUUCAGCGCUUUCAGCAGUCAGUCAUAUAUAAACUAAUUAUCAACUACCCAUUGAAUGAUUAAAUCAAGCUCGAACACCUGCCCAGGCCGACACACCUAGAAGUGAGAUCAGGUCGGCUCAGAAGUCUAUCCGUAUAUCAGCUAAAAGGAAAGUUACCGGUACAAAUACACUCACACAUCUACUCGCUGCUUUGCGCACGUACACAACUUUCGAAGUAACUGUAUCGAACGAAAAAUUGUGUACCGAGGGUCGGCUCGCAUGAUGAACCGGAAUCCAACGCACACAUACGUGGAUGUAACGAACAGAAAAAGAGCCUAAUAAGAAGCUCCAAGUCCGUGACCGGCGACCUGCUUCAGUGUCGUCCCCUCGCCAUGGACAAAUACUCCUCCGGACGACGAUUCCCCUCGAUCGUAGAUUCCUCGAGAGGGGGCAAUGCGGUCAUUUGAUAUGUAAAUCAAUAAAGCAACUUGAUAGCAAAUAUCACCGAGGUAAUUGCACCACAGCAAGCACUGCAUUUUUUAUCAAUCAAAUUUUCCACCGUCUGUGCUAGCAAGGAGUGUGACAAGCUCAUUAUCGUCAGUAGGCGUUGCCUGAUCCAAAUCACACGAACCGGACAACAAUAAAUGCCGUGUUUUUUCGUCCCAGUAGGCUACUCCGGCGGGCCACGGCUGAUGAUUUCAUCCUUCACACCACUGCCGGGUGCGAUUCAGCCCACAUAUGCAGCAGGCGGCGCACUAAGGGGUGCUUUGGCCAAUCUAACUGGCCAAAAAACAUUUUUCGAAGUCGCUCGUAUUGCGAAAAGUUGACAUGAAUAUAUUCGUUGUGUUCGUAAAUUGAACAAUUUUAGGCUGAGGUUUGUUUCAGAGCAUAGUUUUCUAACUACCGAGACAAUUACAUGAAAAACCAAUUCAUGAGUGUAAUUUUCGAUAGUUAUUUUACAUUUGUACCGAAUUUCUAUUGAUAAUAUGGAGGUCAUGCGAAUUGCAUCCAAACGUCAUUUGUUUCCAUGCUAAUUGCUCAAUUUUGGCCAGAUAGGCUUGCCAAACGUCCCUUAGUGCGACGGAAAAAAAACUCAUCUUGUGAGCAAAUUAUCGAUUUUCUCCGCUCCCUCGAAUAAGGCCACUUUGAUACGAUGGAAAUGACCUUCAAAACGAGCAGUUGGUUAUCUAUCACCGCCAUGAAACGGCAACCGUAAUCAGCGGUGAUGACACUAGCCAUUUUCGCCGGUGAAGCCAAAUUUUAUUCUAGAACGCCCCAUUUCAUCAGAGGCGAGCUAUCAAACCACCGCCACCCAGUCGUCACUGGAAUCCGGUUGAACUUUUUUUUUCACCACUCAUCAUUUUCACCCGGAGCAUAAGAAAAAUUCCACUUACCUCAAUAACGACACGGCCCAGCGGGGCGUUAUCGG
This is a long non-coding RNA of Aedes albopictus (Asian tiger mosquito), 8536 nucleotides long. RefSeq lists it as uncharacterized. Lineage: Eukaryota; Metazoa; Arthropoda; Insecta; Diptera; Culicidae. The transcript is spliced from 2 exons. The record is from RefSeq and is a predicted model, not a curated record.